RNAcentral lists this ribosomal RNA (254 nucleotides) under uncultured bacterium. RNAcentral's name for it is "partial 16S ribosomal RNA". It matches the Rfam family "Bacterial small subunit ribosomal RNA", at positions 524 to 776 of the family's 1533-position model. The record is from RNAcentral.
UACGGAGGGGGCUAGCGUUGUUCGGAAUUACUGGGCGUAAAGGGCGCGCAGGCGGCUGCUCAAGUCAGGCGUGAAAGGCCUGGGCUCAACCCGGGAAUUGCGCUUGAGACUGGGCUGGCUUGAGUGCGGGAGAGGAUGGUGGAAUUCCCAGUGUAGAGGUGAAAUUCGUAGAUAUUGGGAAGAACACCGGUGGCGAAGGCGGCUAUCUGGCCCGUAAUUGACGCUGAGGCGCGAAAGCGUGGGGAGCAAACAGG